UUUCCGUAGGUGAACCUGCGGAAGGAUCAUUACCAGGUGCCGGCUCCGGUCGUGAUGACCGUCGAGAGGCAUUCUAAACCCUCUGUGAACCAAAAAAACAUUCGCUUCGGCGGCAGCCUCGGUCGGAGACGACCCCGGCGUCAGCCCGCCGUUAGCACCAACGUCAAAAACUUGUAUUCUCGAACAUUGUCUGAUGACCAAAUUUUCGAAUGAAAAUCAAAACUUUCAACAACGGAUCUCUUGGUUCCCGCAUCGAUGAAGAACGCAGC
This 269-nucleotide unclassified non-coding RNA is filed under the name uncultured fungus. RNAcentral's name for it is "sequence contains ITS1, 5.8S rRNA gene". The stretch from base 221 to 269 matches the Rfam family "5.8S ribosomal RNA", at positions 1 to 49 of the family's 154-position model. The record is from RNAcentral. Lineage: Eukaryota; Fungi.